RNAcentral lists this transfer RNA (78 nucleotides) under Bathyarchaeum sp. (SeqCode). Its description in RNAcentral is "Candidatus Bathyarchaeum sp. tRNA-Arg". It matches the Rfam family "tRNA". From Rfam's summary of the family: Transfer RNA (tRNA) molecules are approximately 80 nucleotides in length. Their secondary structure includes four short double-helical elements and three loops (D, anti-codon, and T loops). The record is from RNAcentral. Lineage: Archaea; Thermoproteati; Candidatus Bathyarchaeota; Bathyarchaeia (SeqCode); Bathyarchaeales (SeqCode); Bathyarchaeaceae (SeqCode).
GGGCCCGUAGCCUAGUUUGGAUAAGGCGUCGGCCUUCGGAGCCGAAAACCCAGGGUUCAAAUCCCUGCGGGCCCGCCA